UUCAAUGCAUUGUGUUAUUAAUUAUAAAAAUUUUGUCCUUCUUUUUUCGUAGUUGAAUUAAAACAUUAUGAAAUUUUAACUUUCAUUUUAGUGUGAUGUUACUAAUUUUCUAUUUUUUUCUUUUCAUGCAAUGCGCAUUCACUAAUUUGGAACCAAUUUCUUAUACUGUAAAUAUGUUUGAUAAUACAACAAUUGCAACAGCAUAUUCUGACAAAGUUUUUCAAGCGGUUAGUGAUGGUGGCUACGUUUUCAGCAAGGUAAUUGGCAAAAUAGUGGCAAAUAAGCGUUUAGUUGGUCUUGAUUCAAAGUGGUACUGGUGACAAAAAUCAAUAAUAGAUAUGCUAUUCAUACCAACGCCUAAUUUUAUAUGUCGACAAAACAAAUAAAUGUUUUAUUUAUUUA
Molecule: long non-coding RNA, 402 nt
Organism: Pieris napi
Lineage: Eukaryota; Metazoa; Arthropoda; Insecta; Lepidoptera; Pieridae
Exons: 3
Source: RefSeq, a predicted model, not a curated record